Molecule: ribosomal RNA, 292 nt
Filed under: uncultured bacterium
Lineage: Bacteria
Also listed under: 2 other names
Description: partial 16S ribosomal RNA
Source: RNAcentral
GGACUACAAGGGUAUCUAAUCCCGUUUGCUCCCCUGGCUUUCGCGCAUCAGCGUCAGAAAAGGUCCAGCACGCCGCUUUCGCCACCGGAGUUCCUGAUGAUAUCAACACAUUUCACCGCUCCACCAUCAGUUCCGCAUGCCCCUACCUUCCUCAAGACGACCAGUAUCAAAGGCACUUCUCCAGUUAAGCUGGAGGAUUUCACCCCUGACUUUGCCGCCCGCCUACGCGCCCUUUAAGCCCAGUGAUUCCGAACAACGUUCGCACGGUUCGUCUUACCGCGGCUGCUGGCAC